Molecule: ribosomal RNA, 448 nt
Filed under: uncultured bacterium
Lineage: Bacteria
Description: bacterial SSU rRNA
Rfam family: Bacterial small subunit ribosomal RNA
Source: RNAcentral
GCCAGACUCCUACGGGAGGCAGCAGUGAGGAAUAUUGGUCAAUGGGCGAGAGCCUGAACCAGCCAAGUCGCGUGAGGGAUGACGGCCCUACGGGUUGUAAACUGCUUUUAUAAGCGAGAAAUAUGAUGGUAACUUAUGAAUAAGGAUCGGCUAACUACGUGCCAGCAGCCGCGGUCAUACGUAGGAUCCGAGCAUUAUCCGGAGUGACUGGGUGUAAAGAGUUGCGUAGGUGGCAUAAUAAGUAGCUAGUGAAAUCUGGUGGCUCAACCAUUCAGACUAUUAGCUAAACUGUUAAGCUCGAGACCGUUAGGGGUAACUGGAAUUUCUAGUGUAGGAGUGAAAUCCGUAGAUAUUAGAAGGAACACCGAUAGCGUAGGCAGGUUACUGGGACGGUUCUGACACUAAGGCACGAAAGCGUAGGGAGCAAACGGGAUUAGAUACCCUCGUA